ACCGAAUCAUUGCACACCUACAUAAAAGACGAAAACGAAUUAAUGAUGAACUGCUUAAAAAUACAUCAUAAACUUAUGUUAAACGAGAAAGAAAGUAUCUUUUCCAACGUUAUAAAAGUUCCUAAUAGUAAUAAAAGUAAAAUAUCUGCACGCGACGACAACUCAUACUACUACUACAACAAUAAUGAUUCGAAAAUUCAAAUGAAUAUUGUUUUAAACACGAAUGCUAGUGAAAUAAUAGAAAAGCCACAUAGAUACGAUAUAAGAAACAUAAUACAAUAUUAUUAUAAAAAGUUUUAUAAUAAUAGGUUAGAUUAUUUCAUUUAUAACAAUCAGAACAAAAACAAUUGGAUAAAUAACAACAUUUCUAAUGGUUUAUGUUUAGCAACAGACUGUUCUUUACUAUUGUAUGAAACGAAAGAAAAUGAAAAUAUGUGUCAGGACACACAUGAUGAUGGUGAUGAUGAUACAUACGAAAAAAAAACACACCCAACAAUUAUUGUAACUGAUAAGGAGUUGAAAAGCAGUAACACCUGUACAGGCAUAAACAUAUCCAAUUGCAACGAUGGUACAAAUAAGCUUCAACCGUUUCCAUAUAGGACUAAAACAAUAGCAAAAAUUCAAAACUGUAAAAAUAACAUUAUAAAAUACAAAAAAUAUAAUAGUACAACGGGUAAAACAGUUAAAGUAAAAGUAAUAAAUAAGAUGAUAAAAAAAAGUUAUAAAUUAAGAAAGAACUCAAUUGAAUAUAUGCUUAUUGAAAAGGUAAUAAACAUAAUUGAUAAUCUUAGUAUGAAGAACAGUUUGUACAAUAACGUAAAUUUAAAAAACAAUUUGUAUAGUAGCUUAAGUUUGAAAAGUGAUUCACAUAGCGACACAAGUUUAAAAAGUGGAAAAGUAACUACAACAGAAGAACAUGUCUUUACUUCUAAUGCUCAUACAACAAACAAUAACAACCAUGAUCAUGCAUUUUACCAAUCACUAUUUGGCAAUGAAACAGAACCAAAUAUGGAUGAUAUAAACUCUUUCUUUUACUCCGAAAUGAACAACUCCUUUUAUAGAUAUUUUAAAGAUAAAAUAGAUGUAAAUAAUAUAAGAAAACAUUAUAACUUAAAACAUGACAAUACUAUAUUUAAGUUACAUAAAGAAUAUAUAAAAACAUGUUUAAACAAAUUUAAAUUAUUUUUUCGUGAAUACUUUUAUAUUAAUUUUACAAACGAUUUAGAAUUGAAAAAAAAGAAAAAGUAUAUGUAUAAAAAUUUUUGUGUAGCUAUAUGUGAUAUUUUUUUUUACAAUUUAGGAAUUACAAAAGGAGAUGGAGAUGAGAAAUUUGAACAAACAUUAGGUGGUAUAGUAAUAUAUGAUUUAUACAUAAAACAGUUUACAAAAUUAAGAAUAUUAUUAAAAAAAAUGUUUAUGUAUAUAAAUAUUAUAUACAAAAUAAUUAAAUUAGUUAACAUGAAAAAAAUAUUUAAUGAACGAUAUGACUUACAUACAUGUAAAAUGCAUGACGUAUUUUUUUUUAAUUUCUUAUAUUUUUUUUAUCAUAAAUAUUCUAAUAAGUGUCAAAAAGGUAAUGGAUAUAUGACCUCCUUAUGUAAACAAAUGUUUAUAAAUAAAAAAGACUUGUUAGGUAAUUUGAAACAAAAACUUGUUACUCUUGAAAAUAAAGAUUUACAAUUUUUGGAACUGUAUGAAAAAAUGUUUAAAGUAACAAAUAAACAACAACAAAAAGUUUUUUCAAAAUGUUUUUAAAAAUACAAAUAAUCCAUUGGAACCGUCGAAUAAUAUCGAUAUUGCAAUUGCUAUGGAACUUGAAUAUGAGAAAAAAAAAAUACAAAAAGAACAGAAACGGGAUGAAGAAUCAGAAUCAACAUCAGAAUCAGCAUCAGAAUCAGAAGAGUUAUUGAGAGAUGUUGCAGAAGAAGCUCUUAGAAAACUUGCUGAAAGGAUAUUAAGAGAAGUUGCAUUGAUGGUUGCAAAUGUGGCUAAAGAGGUGGCAAUGGAACAGGCUAAGCAUUCAAAAGUGGCAUCAAGAGAACAGGUUAAACAGUCAAAGGAGGUGACAUCAAAGGAAGUGGCAUCAAAGGAAGUGGCAUCAAAGGAAGUGACAUCAAAAGAGGUGGUAUCAAAAGAGGUGGUAUUAAAAGAGGUGGUAUCAAAGGAACAGGUUAAAAAGUCAAAGGAGGUAACCACAACGGAUCGGGAGGUAACCACAACAGAUCGAGUUAAACAGUCAAAUAAUAUUGAAUUAGAAAAUAAAACAAACAAAGAUACAACCA
RNAcentral lists this long non-coding RNA (2282 nucleotides) under Piliocolobus tephrosceles (Ugandan red Colobus). RNAcentral describes it as "lncRNA (ENSPTEG00000010714.1)". Lineage: Eukaryota; Metazoa; Chordata; Mammalia; Primates; Cercopithecidae. The record is from RNAcentral.